Molecule: small nucleolar RNA, 139 nt
Filed under: Setaria italica (foxtail millet)
Lineage: Eukaryota; Viridiplantae; Streptophyta; Magnoliopsida; Poales; Poaceae
Description: Small nucleolar RNA Z247
Rfam family: Small nucleolar RNA Z247
About the family: Z247 is a member of the C/D class of snoRNA which contain the C (UGAUGA) and D (CUGA) box motifs. Most of the members of the box C/D family function in directing site-specific 2'-O-methylation of substrate RNAs.
Source: Rfam by way of RNAcentral
GUAAUCGAUGAUAACGAGAUGGUCUCACAUAUUCUUGCUGGUUUAGAUCAUAAUUACAAUCCUGUCGUUUCAUCUGUUAUGGGCUGAUCUGAUCCCAUCACCCUUAGUGAUCUUUAUGCUCAAUUGAUGGCCUAUGAUA